GGUCUUAUAAAUGCUGACGGUCUGU
Molecule: non-coding RNA, 25 nt
Filed under: Cricetulus griseus (Chinese hamster)
Lineage: Eukaryota; Metazoa; Chordata; Mammalia; Rodentia; Cricetidae
Source: RNAcentral